Long non-coding RNA from Sorghum bicolor (sorghum), 981 nucleotides. RefSeq lists it as uncharacterized. The transcript is spliced from 2 exons. Lineage: Eukaryota; Viridiplantae; Streptophyta; Magnoliopsida; Poales; Poaceae. The record is from RefSeq and is a predicted model, not a curated record.
UAUUGGUUGUCGACAACGUCAACUCUCUUCUACUUAUUACAAAGCACUCUCAAAGCUACCAGUUCAUUAAGUAAAGGAACAAAUCACAGCCGGACCUCCAUCCAAACUUCUUUUAGAAUGAGUUUUGCAGGUCAAGUUUGACCUCGUGGUCCACCAAAAAGGACACUGGUAGACUGGUAGAGCACAAUGUGGUAGUGGUUAAGGCCAUAGUUCAAGCCUCCCAUUGAAAUUAAAAGAUGAAAAUGCUUAACGAUGUAUUUUUGGAAUCAUUGUAGUUCUCUAUGGGGUUUCUGAAAUUCUUUGCAAGGUUGGCAUGACCAAUAGUACUAGUACUAUUGUUGCCCUUUAUAUAUAUGUAAUAGUUUGCUGAGAGUGCUUGUUCACAGAUCUACUUAUUGGUCGAUGAAGACAUUGGUGGAGUCAAAUCUAACAGAGAAAAAGACCCUACUUACUAUUUUUCAUGAAACAAUAUGUUGCAUAUUCAUUUUAAUUUGUCACCAGUAGUGGCUUUUUUUUGGGUAUUGGUCUAAAAUUUUUUAUUACCUUAUACUCUUUGCAGCCAUUUUAAUUGUCCCUGAACUUGGCCCAAGCACCAAGUUCGCAUACGCUUCACACAAAGCGGUCUCUGAGUACAAGGAGGCAAAGGUGUGACAGGGAAAAAAAUGCAGCAACUGAUAAGCACAGUGCUAGAGCUCUGGCGCAAAACUCAGGAUGGCACCUUGCUGUCCAAUUCGACCAGAGAGCUUGCAGCGGGGUUCUGUACCCACAAAAGUUAAUUUCUAAGUAUCUUCUGUUUGGUUAUAUUUGUUCCCUAUUGGACUUACGAUUGCAUUAAUAUCUGGACACUAGAAACCAAGUUGUGGCAAAGCUAUGAAUUUCAAAUUCAUGUGGAUGCCCUCAUUUCGUUAGAUCUAAUUGCAUCAUCUAGAAACAGACUCAAGAAUUUGAUCCCAAGGUGAAUAAAUGCCCUCGUCCUAUCAA